UCACAGAGCCGGACAAGCGGGAGACGACUGAGCCACAGCAGCGAGUCUUUACAGAACAAGAUAUCCAAACUGCAAUAUAGAAUGAACGCAAAUAUCUCCGUUUGCUGCUUGUCUCUGCUUCUGCUGCUUCAUUUCGUAAGGGCCAAACCAGUUUCUGACCUCCAGAAUUUGAAGCAGCUGCUGGAGGAGAUCAACACAGCGCAGUACUACCCGUCCUCCGAGGAGAUGGAGGUGAAAAGAGACAAGUCGGUGUUCGGAGCUCCAGAGCAGGAUCCCUGGAGCUCCUCCGACCACAGCAGCCCCUCCGACCCGCCGGCGGCUAAAGAAAACGUUCUCGCAAGUCUCUUAAGAGACCUCAUGAGGACGUCGAAGCGUUCUUGGAGUCGCUACAAGAAGGGCGGGCUGAGGAGCUGCUUUGGUGUGCGCCUGGAGAGGAUCGGCUCCUUCAGCGGGCUGGGAUGCUGAAGGUUAAACAUAAUGCAGCACACACGCACACGACCAACGCAUGAAGGCAGAAGGCAGAAGGCAGGCAUAACUUUGGGCAGGAAUGGAUGACGCUACACUGUGACCACAUCCAACAGCAUAGCUCCUCACCGUCACACAGCCCUGACUGGCACAUUAAAGGAUGCUUACUUCAGUCUGUCCUUGUUUCUCAUGCAGAACUGUGAUUCCCUUUUUCACAUGUGAGCUGUUGAAUAUUAAAUGAUUGUAAAUGUAUUUAUUAUUAUUUAAUUGAUUUAAUUUAAUUGUUGGAUAGAGUUGCCUUGUAAUAGAAUGUAUUGUAGUAAAAUAAUUAUUUUGCAUAAUUACUGAGUCUGAAUUUCUUUGCUGGCCACACCUUUUUCAGAGGGACUAUCGUCAUACAGUGCACAUUAAAUAAACCUGUGUGGUAGAUGGGAACACAUUUUAUUGAAAUGUUUUAAAUUUUCUAACCCUAACCCUAACCCAGAAA
Molecule: RNA transcript, 952 nt
Organism: Acanthopagrus latus (yellowfin seabream)
Lineage: Eukaryota; Metazoa; Chordata; Actinopteri; Spariformes; Sparidae
Gene: nppal
Gene name: natriuretic peptide A-like
Exons: 4
Source: RefSeq, a predicted model, not a curated record